AUUGAACGCUGGCGGCAUGCUUUACACAUGCCAGUCGAACGGCAGCGCGGGCUUCGGCCUGGCGGCGAGUGGCGAACGGGUGAGUAAUACAUCGGAACGUGCCCAGUAGUGGGGGAUAGCUCGGCGAAAGCCGGAUUAAUACCGCAUACGACCUGAGGGGGAAAGCGGGGGAUCUUCGGACCUCGCGCUAUUGGAGCGGCCGAUGGCAGAUUAGCUAGUUGGUGGGGUAAAGGCCUACCAAGGCGACGAUCUGUAGCUGGUCUGAGAGGACGACCAGCCACACUGGGACUGAGACACGGCCCAGACUCCUACGGGAGGCAGCAGUGGGGAAUUUUGGACAAUGGGCGAAAGCCUGAUCCAGCAAUGCCGCGUGUGUGAUGAAGGCCUUCGGGUUGUAAAGCACUUUUGGCGGGAACGAAAAGGACUGUGCCAAUACCACGGUUCGAUGACGGUACCCGCAGAAUAAGCACCGGCUAACUACGUG
This 484-nucleotide ribosomal RNA is filed under the name uncultured bacterium. Its description in RNAcentral is "partial 16S ribosomal RNA". It matches the Rfam family "Bacterial small subunit ribosomal RNA", at positions 29 to 507 of the family's 1533-position model. The record is from RNAcentral.